GAAUUCUUCAGUUGGAACAGACAACCAAUGGCAUGGAACCUUCACCAUCAUGUCUACAAUCUGACAGUGGAAACGAAUGUUGAGCUGUGGUCUACAUGGUCACAUGGACUUAAGAGUACCCCUCACAUAGGGCACUCUUUCUGGAGUGGAGGAUAUAAUCUCCAAGGAAAGCAUGUCAUUGGCAAAGGGAGAAGUUUUGAACACUCAUUUUCUCCUGAGAUACUUCAAGCUAGUCAAUUUGUUCAUAGUUUCCAGAAGUCUACAGUCUUCACUGGUGGCUGCCAGUUCGCUUAUCAGGUUGAGAACCUCAGGUACAAUGUAGCACCAAUAGUUGGGAUGAGAACUGAUCUGCAGACCUGAAGCGAGAUACAGACUGCUAAGAAGCUCCUGAAAGAACCAUAGUGCCUACUAUUUCUGGCUCCUGGGGCCUCAGCUGACUGCAAAAAUAUCCUUCAAUAAAUCUCACUAAGAUGCACA
RNAcentral lists this long non-coding RNA (477 nucleotides) under Phascolarctos cinereus (koala). RNAcentral's name for it is "lncRNA (ENSPCIG00000027996.2)". The record is from RNAcentral. Lineage: Eukaryota; Metazoa; Chordata; Mammalia; Diprotodontia; Phascolarctidae.